This 778-nucleotide ribosomal RNA is filed under the name uncultured Neocallimastigales. RNAcentral describes it as "partial large subunit ribosomal RNA". It matches the Rfam family "Eukaryotic large subunit ribosomal RNA", at positions 24 to 646 of the family's 3401-position model. The record is from RNAcentral. Lineage: Eukaryota; Fungi; Neocallimastigomycota; Neocallimastigomycetes; Neocallimastigales.
UAUCUCUGUAGAGUCUGCAUAUCAAUAAGCGGAGGAAAAGAAACUAACUAGGAUUCCCUUAGUAACGGCGAGUGAAGCGGGAAGAGCUCAAAUUUGAAAUCUUCAAGGUUCUACCUUGACGAAUUGUAGUUUAUAGAAGUGUUUUCUGUUAGAGGAGUAGCAAAAGUUCCUUGGAAUAGGGACAUCAUAGAGGGUGAGAAUCCCGUAUUUGGUUAUUCCUUCCUAGCGUUGUGAUACACUUUCAAAGAGUCGGAUUGUUUGGGAAUGCAGUCCAAAAUGGGUGGUAAAUUUCAUCUAAAGCUAAAUAUUGGACGAGAGACCGAUAGCGAACGAGUACCGUGAGGGAGAGAUGAAAAGAACUUUGAAAAGAGAGUUAAACAGUACGUGAAAUUGUCAAAAGGGAAGCGUUUGACACCAGUGUUGUUUUUCCGAAAAUCAAUUAAGAGUGGCUUGAUUUUGUGUUGUAUUGACCUUAUCAGCUUUCUUCACUCUUUUUCGAGUCUUUCUUAAUGCACUUUUCGGUUAACAAGUCAACAUCAAUUUCUUUUGUUGUAAAAGGGUAUUUGGAAGGUGGCUUUCUUUUCGGAGAAAGUGUUUAUAGCCUUAUACCUCUACAAUCGGAGAGAUUGAGGUCUGCAGCGUAGAUCCUUCGGGGCUAGAUACACUUGUGCUAAGUUAUAGCUUUUCAUAGACAACUUGUUGACUAUGUUUAGUCAUGUAGCUUACCCGCUUGUGCUAUUUUACCUACGCUUAGGAUGUUGAUGUGAUACUGCGAGCA